RNAcentral lists this transfer RNA (72 nucleotides) under Sphaerodactylus townsendi. RNAcentral describes it as "tRNA-Ala". It matches the Rfam family "tRNA". Rfam says of the family: Transfer RNA (tRNA) molecules are approximately 80 nucleotides in length. The record is from RNAcentral. Lineage: Eukaryota; Metazoa; Chordata; Lepidosauria; Squamata; Sphaerodactylidae.
GGGGUUGUGGCUCAGUGGCAGAACAUCUGCAUGGCAUGCAGACGGUCCCGGGCUCAAACCCUGAAGCCUCCU